Molecule: ribosomal RNA, 776 nt
Filed under: uncultured Neocallimastigales
Lineage: Eukaryota; Fungi; Neocallimastigomycota; Neocallimastigomycetes; Neocallimastigales
Description: partial large subunit ribosomal RNA
Rfam family: Eukaryotic large subunit ribosomal RNA
Source: RNAcentral
CGCAUCUGUGCAUGCAGCAUAUCAAUAAGCGGAGGAAAAGAAACUAACAAGGAUUCCCUUAGUAACGGCGAGUGAAGCGGGGAGAGCUCAAAUUUGAAAUCUUCAAGGUUUUACCUUGACGAAUUGUAGUUUAAAGAAGUGUUUUCUGUUGAAGUUUUGGUAAAAGUUCUUUGGAAUAGGACAUCAUAGAGGGUGAGAAUCCCGUAUUUGACCAUUAUUUUCAGCUGUGUGAUACACUUUCAAAGAGUCGGAUUGUUUGGGAAUGCAGUCCAAAAUGGGUGGUAAAUUUCAUCUAAAGCUAAAUAUUGGCGAGAGACCGAUAGCGAACAAGUACCGUGAGGGAAAGAUGAAAAGAACUUUGAAAAGAGAGUUAAACAGUACGUGAAAUUGUCAAAAGGGAAGCGUUUGACACCAGUGUUGUUUUCUCGAAAAUCAAUUAAAAAGAGUUAGAUUUUGUUGUGUAUUGACCUUAACAGCUUGCAUUUCAAUUUUCUUGCUUUUUUUAAUGCACUUUUCGUUUAACAAGUCAACAUCAGUUUCUUUUGUUGUAAAAAGGGUCAUUGGAAGGUGGCUUUCUUUUCGGAGAAAGUGUUUAUAGCCUUUGACUCCUGCAAUCCGGAGAGACUGAGGUCUGCAGCGUAGAUCCUUCGGGGUUAGAUACAUUUGUGCUAAGUUAUAGCUUUUUAUAGACAACUUGUUGACUAUGAUUAGUCUUGUAGCUUACUCGCUUAUGCUAUUUUACCUACGCUUAGGAUGUUGACGCGCGUGUGUGCGUG